RNAcentral lists this ribosomal RNA (423 nucleotides) under uncultured bacterium. RNAcentral describes it as "bacterial SSU rRNA". It matches the Rfam family "Bacterial small subunit ribosomal RNA", at positions 207 to 622 of the family's 1533-position model. The record is from RNAcentral.
AAGACCUUGCGCUUUUGGAGCGGCCGAUGCCUGAUUAGCUUGUUGGUAAGGUAAAAGCUUACCAAGGCUUCGAUCAGUAGCUGGUCUGAGAGGACGACCAGCCACACUGGGACUGAGACACGGCCCAGACUCCUACGGGAGGCAGCAGUGGGGAAUUUUGGACAAUGGGGGCAACCCUGAUCCAGCCAUGCCGCGUGAGUGAAGAAGGCCUUCAGGUUGUAAAGCUCUUUCAGCCGGAACGAAACGGUUACGGAUAACACCCGUGACUACUGACGGUACCGGAAGAAGAAGCACCGGCUAACUACGUGCCAGCAGCCGCGGUAAUACGUAGGGUGCGAGCGUUAAUCGGAAUUACUGGGCGUAAAGCGUGCGCAGGUGGUUUUGUAAGUCAGAUGUGAAAGCCCCGGGCUCAACCUGGGAACU